This 24-nucleotide transfer RNA is filed under the name Rubus fruticosus. RNAcentral's name for it is "Rubus plicatus partial tRNA-Leu". Lineage: Eukaryota; Viridiplantae; Streptophyta; Magnoliopsida; Rosales; Rosaceae. The record is from RNAcentral.
UGGGGAAAAAAGGGCCUUCCCCAA